This 103-nucleotide non-coding RNA is filed under the name Domibacillus antri. RNAcentral describes it as "SAM-I sequence". It matches the Rfam family "SAM riboswitch aptamer (S box leader)". From Rfam's summary of the family: The SAM riboswitch is found upstream of a number of genes which code for proteins involved in methionine or cysteine biosynthesis in Gram-positive bacteria. The SAM riboswitch acts at the level of transcription termination control. The record is from RNAcentral. Lineage: Bacteria; Bacillati; Bacillota; Bacilli; Caryophanales; Bacillaceae.
UUCUUAUCAAGAGAAGCCGAGGGUACUGGCCCGCAGACGCUUCAGCAACCAGCCGGACGGUCAGGUGCUAAAUCCAGCAGACGUUAAGUCUGGAAGAUGAGAA